GAACCGACAUCUAGCGAUGUUUAAUUGCGAGUUCGUUUUGCCGCGUCUGCACGAGCGAAUUUGAUCUCCGGCUACCGCCUUAACUCGGUACGCAUUCCAAUCGCCUCUCGGUGUGUUCAGUGCGAAACGAGCAGUCAAAGGAGAACAACCACAAAGAACCAAAUUUCUAAAAAUGUACACCCCGGAAGAGCACUACGACGGAUUUUCGACGUGGUUGCAGUUGGUCAUCCACCGUGGUGGUUCGAGGACGACCUUGACCCUGGGGGUGAUGGUAGGGAGUUUGGUCGGGUACAUAAACCCGACCAACGCCCUCGAAGUCAUCGAUUGUGUGUGGUCGCUGGCUGCAGGACAUCUUCCACCGGAGCUCGUAGAAGCCCGAUGGUUUUACGAGGGCGCCCUGCAGACCUCUGGGCCCUUUGAGGUGGUAUUGGCCCCAAAUCACGGGCAGAUCGAGAUUCUCUCGGUCUGCCUUAUGGAGACGGCAGAAGGCCUCUUGUGAUAUUGGAUGCGAGCCUUGAUGGAGGUGGAGUGAUUCGUCCCUGGACCCCCU
Long non-coding RNA from Microplitis mediator, 550 nucleotides. RefSeq lists it as uncharacterized. Lineage: Eukaryota; Metazoa; Arthropoda; Insecta; Hymenoptera; Braconidae. The transcript is spliced from 3 exons. The record is from RefSeq and is a predicted model, not a curated record.